GAAAUCUUGGGGCUUGAAUUAAUUGCGUAAAGGUACAGUUACAAGGAGAAGCAGAUGGCAGAUAAAAUAGUGUAACGUUAAUAAACUUGCUUCCAUUUGUAGCAACUUGAAUAGAAUGCUAGUAGCUAAGGUAGCUCAGAAAGAAGUGGAUAUAGCAUGAAAGAGCAGAGGUACACUGACCAUACAACGUGGAAAUGUGAGUUCUGGCACUAUGGAGAACACAUUGCACCAGAAUGGCUUUUCCUGUGAAACAGAUCAUAUCUGCACCCAGGGAAAGCAGUAAUGGGAGUUUCUCUCAUCUUUCUUCAUGGAAGGAAAGUUUAUCCAUUUCUAUGCUCAAGUGCUGCUUCUGCAAGACCCUUCAGGAAUCCUGGGUGUCACUACAGUUUCCUGCAGAGCCUGAGAUGUCCUGAGUAUCUUCAACUGUAAUCUAAAUAGAGCUAUGAGAGUGCCAGUAUUUCCAUGUUAGCACGGAGUGAAACCGGGGGAUUCCUGCCUUGGGGAGAAGGCCUUCAGACAAAUCUGAUGCAGAUAUUAUAUACAAUGAUACAAGGAAUGGAAUUCUUAUGUAUGCUUUUCUACGAACCCCGUUUGCUUACCAUAGG
This 605-nucleotide long non-coding RNA is filed under the name Numida meleagris (helmeted guineafowl). RNAcentral describes it as "lncRNA (ENSNMEG00000018713.1)". The record is from RNAcentral. Lineage: Eukaryota; Metazoa; Chordata; Aves; Galliformes; Numididae.